Molecule: long non-coding RNA, 1372 nt
Filed under: Pogona vitticeps (central bearded dragon)
Lineage: Eukaryota; Metazoa; Chordata; Lepidosauria; Squamata; Agamidae
Description: lncRNA (ENSPVIG00000014442.1)
Source: RNAcentral
UUGCAAAUUAAGCCCUGGUUGGCUUUCCAAUGACCAAUCCCAAAACAAAGCAAAUUAGAUGCUAAAUUUGUGAGGAAAAACAUGUGCCAUGGCAAAAAGAAUCUUCCACCAUUUGAGGCUGCAUCUCAUUUAGAAAUAUGCCAGGUACUACUGUAUAUUGUCUAGUCAGAUCCUAAGGGCGAAAUUAUUUGUUACAGAUAAUUACAGCAGACAUAAUUUUAAUUUAUUGUUCCAGAUGCAUGAUUUAGGUAGAUUUUUGUGUCUGAAAAGGUAGACUUUCAAAUGAAGCCUGUGGUUCACUCCCAAACACCAGCCACAAAACAAACCUUAUUCCUAGGUGUAAUUUGUCUUGUUCUGAAAGAAAAAUUAAUUUCCCUCAUGAUGGUGGCAGCAGGCCCAAAGUAGUCUGAGGGCCACAGAAAUAAGCCGUGGGCCAGAUGCAACUAGUGAGCUUUGUAUUGUCCACCUCUGCUUUAGAGACAACCUCUUUAUCUCUCAUUUGUUGAAAUCAGCAAUUGUUCAAGAAUUAAUUUGUCCCUGUUAUCAACAGUCAGUUGAUCCUUGCUGGCAAUCUGCAGCGAUCUCUUAGCAGUCCAGAUCAUUUUCAGGUGUUUAUUUUCAUUUUCUUCUCCAUUUGCAGACUUCUCCUCAAUUUCAUCAGCGGGGUGUUUCCAAUCCUGAGGUUUAGUUUGACUAAAGCCAGGAUCGAUUCUGCGCCAAAGACCUUGCUAGCUCUUUCUAUGACUCCUGUUGUCUUUGAAUCCAGAAGAUUAACAAAGGGUGAGGCAAACCAUUCAGAGAUCAUCAGGAGAUCCGCAAAGCAGAAAGAAUCAUUUUCUAAGAGGAGAGAUGUGUCUGGCAGAGACUUGAGAGAGGGUUGCCCACUGACAGCAGAGAAUCCCUAGAUUCUGGAGAAUGGGUUCACGUCCAGAUUGCCAGAGGACAAAACUGCAGUUGAGGGAUGCUGAUCUUUGCCUUGUCAUACCAACACCCUCCUGGAGACUACAGAGACCAGCCAGGCACCCAGGCCCUAUCCUGAGCCAACAAAGGUGCUAUAGGAGGAAGUGCCAAAGGGAACACCUGUGACAGAGGUCAAGUCCUUCGACUUGGGGGGGACAUGGGACCCACCCACCGCCGUGAAUCCCAGCAAUACAUGCCCUCCCUAAAAAGGACUAACUGGUUGGAGUCAGUGAGAAAAACUAUACUCCAGCCACAGAGUGUGGACAGCACUGGUCCAAUUAGUGGAACUUGAGGGAAGAUUGGACCGGGCAGGGGUGAUUUUAGUGAAGUUAACUCAGCCCUCCUGCAAGCUAUUGGGACAGUUAGGCACCCAACCUUUCCUUGUAGCCCAUUGUCCUAUUUUAAUAAAGUC